Bos taurus (domestic cattle) is the source of this 2455-nucleotide long non-coding RNA. Lineage: Eukaryota; Metazoa; Chordata; Mammalia; Artiodactyla; Bovidae. The record is from Ensembl.
AGGCACUAGUCUAAAUACAGAGCCAUUAGCAGUUAUAAAGGGCCAUGGUUAAUGGAUUGAGCAGACCAUGAUAAUCCAACAGGGUGGGGCUUCCCAGGUGGCGCUAGGGGUAAAAAACACACCUGCUGAUGCAGCAGAUGUAAGAAAUGCUGGUUCGAUCCCUGCGGUGAGAAGAUCCCCUAGAGAAGGAAACAGCAACCCACUCCAGUAUUCUUGCCUGGGAAAUUCCACGAAUAGAGGAGCCUGGUGGGCUACAGUCCAUGGGAUCACAAAGAGCUGGACAUGGCUGAAGCGACUUAGCAUGCAUGCAUUCAAGAAGGUUGGGAGAUGCCCUGAGGGAAGUCAAGAACUUAUAUGCAGGUGUCCUCCAAGGCAUUAAGGCAUGUUUCCCAAGAACAUUGCCCAGUUCAAUUCCCGUGUGAUGGGUCUGCUUCCUGGGAAACUUAACCUGCAGUAGUGGCAGGGGUGGUCCAAGAAAAUAGAUGCUCAUGAGGGAUUCUGAAGUUGCCAGCCAUCUCGAAGUGAGGACCCUGAUCAUCAGAAGGAGGAGGGCUGCUCUACAUAAUGCAACAGAGAAGAAGGUGAUGGUACUGUUGAUCCAUAAGCGGUGCCUCUUGACAUUCCUUUGUUCAUCUUGAUGAUAAAUGGAUAAGCACAGCAGUCAUAUAUCAGAAAGGUGUGGAGAUCAGGAGCACAGAGGCCUCAAAACUGAAGAUCUGAGUCAUGCCAACAGGGAAACCAUCUACUCAGCAAAGGCAGUGGCUGAGAACGAGGCAAUCUAGAAUGGGUAGUAUGUGAUGAAUAUGAGUUGUGGUCCCAAGUGCUUGGGCUCCAACUGCUUAUAGCCAGGGCUAUAAUUUAUCCCUAACUGUCUAUUUCCCCUAGGAAAAGAGAUACAAUGGAAUCUUGGAAGAACUCUUUUCAGAAUUUAUAUGAAGUGGAUCUGAGUAGUGCAAAUGGUGAGCCAUAGUGAAAGAUCUGAUCUGCCACUCUGUCCACUAAAGACUGAAGUACAUUCCUCCAGCUACUGAUGGCACCAUUGGUUGACAGUCAUCAGAAAUUAUCAUUAGCUGGAGAGUUCUGCCAUGCACAAAUUUCCCAUGCUUCUUUCCUCAGGGCAGCUCAAAUCUGAUAACUGAUCAAUGUAUAGUAUAAAGACCCAAAUCCCUCACCUUAUCCCAGGACAACAUUAAAGGGCAUCAAGCUUCAGGAUCCCUAAAGGCUUGGCCUAGUCUUUGCUGAGAUUACAUCACAGUGCAAGUUCUUCCCAUGUCCAAUUCUGUUUCCUUCUCUUCCUUUCCAUGAUGUCCAUCCUGAGAGUGAAAUUCACUCAGUCGUGUCUGACUGUUUGUGACCCCAUGGACUAUACAGUCCAUGGAAUUCUCCAGGACAGAAUAUUGAAGUGUAGCCAUUCCUUUCUCCAGGGGAUCUUCCCAAUCCAGGGAUUGAACCCAGGUCUCCCAUGUGGCAGGCAGAUUCUUUACUAGCUGAUCCACAAGGGAAGCCCAAUCCUAAGAGUGCUCCCUAUAAAAAUUUCUCCACACUAAUAUCCAACCCAGAGUUUGCUUCCUAAGAAAUCCACCCUACUACAAAAACAUCAUCGGGACAGCUCAUAGAAUUUGAAUAUGGACUCUUGAUUAGAUAAAGGGAUUGUACCAGUGUUAAAUUUCCCAAUUUUUAAAAAUGGUUUUAAUUGUUUUUUAAUUGUUGUUCUUCAAUACCUAAAUCGUGUCCAACUCUUUGCAACCCCAUGGACUGCAGCAAGCCAGGCUUCCUGGUCCUUCACUGUCUCCCGCAGUUUGCUCAAAUUCAUGUCCAUUGAGUCAGUGAUGCCAUCCAAUCAUUUCAUCCUGUCACCUCCCUUUGUCCUCAAUCUUUCCCAGCAUCAGGGUCUUUUCCACUAAGUUGGCUCUUUGCAUCAGGUGUCCAAAGUUUUAGAGCUUCAGCAUCAGUCCUUCCAUUUCCUUUAGGAUUGACUGGUUUGAUCUCCUUCCUGUCCAAGGGACUCUCAAGAGUUUGAUCAUAAUAUAUUGUGUUUAUAUAAGAGAAUGUUUUUGUUCUUAGGAAAUACACUGGCAAAACUAGGAAUGAAGGCACAUGAUAUAUGUGACUUAAUCUCAAAUGAUUAAAAGAAAUUGUGCACGGAGAGGUGGAGGAUCAGAGAAAAAGAAGAAAAUAGGACAAAAUGGAAAUAUUUGGAAAACCUGGGUAAAAACUAUGGAGCUUAAUUAUAGACUUGUUCCAAUUUUUCUGAAAAUUUGAAUUUAUAUCAAAAUUUAAAAAUACCAAAAUAAAAUGACCAGACCUAAUACCAUUCCAAGAGAUUCAGAAUCCCUUGGGUACUAUUAUAUUUCCAGUACUCAGCCCCAGUCUGUAGGUAUUCAACAAAUAUUUGAGUAAAUGAAUGAGUCAAUAGGUAACCUUGUAGGUUAAGAUAAUGAAUUCAGUUUUGGAU